Molecule: ribosomal RNA, 446 nt
Filed under: uncultured bacterium
Lineage: Bacteria
Description: bacterial SSU rRNA
Rfam family: Bacterial small subunit ribosomal RNA
Source: RNAcentral
CCAGACUCCUACGGGAGGCAGCAGUGGGGAAUAUUGCACAAUGGGGGGAACCCUGAUGCAGCGACGCCGCGUGAGGGAAGAAGGUUUUCGGAUUGUAAACCUCUGUCCUCUGUGACGAUAAUGACGGUAGCAGAGGAGGAAGCCACGGCUAACUACGUGCCAGCAGCCGCGGUAAUACGUAGGGGGCAAGCGUUAUCCGGAUUUACUGGGUGUAAAGGGAGCGUAGACGGAAAGGCAAGUCAGAAGUGAAAGCCCAAGGCUCAACCAUGGGACUGCUUUUGAAACUGUCAAACUAGAGUACGGGAGAGGUAAGAGGAAUUCCUAGUGUAGCGGUGAAAUGCGUAGAUAUUAGGAGGAACACCAGUGGCGAAGGCGUCUUACUGGACCGAAACUGACGUUGAGGCUCGAAAGCGUGGGGAGCAAACAGGAUUAGAUACCCCCGUAUU